AGUGCUUGAUGAUAUUAGGUUUUCAGUUCUUGGAUGAAGGGAUGUGCGAUUAUGAUGAUAGUGAUUUUCGAUUAGGAUCAUAGUGAUCCCCUAAGGUUGAGGGGGUGAUUUGUUGAAUAGUAUGAUUUAAGGGACGAAAAUAAUUAAAAGGGCAGCUCUAACGGAAAAACUUGAUAGCAUCAAGUGUUUGGUACUAUCGAUAGUAUAGUAGCCAUUUAAAAGCACCAAGUUAUUGGUGCUGGUAGGUUUUCAACUUUUUGAUGAAGAAGGUUAAGAUAAUAAUAGUUUCUUAGGAUUGUGUGGGUGGUUGGUAUAGCAUAACUUAAGAGGUGACAUUAGUUAAAGAAAUAGAUCUAACGAUAUAAAACUUAAAAGUACGUACUUUUAAAAGUAUCAUAGUCGAACUCUCUCUAUAUAUGGAAACUACUCCAUU
RNAcentral lists this long non-coding RNA (433 nucleotides) under Ananas comosus (pineapple). RNAcentral describes it as "long non-coding RNA (ACOM_LNC008972)". Lineage: Eukaryota; Viridiplantae; Streptophyta; Magnoliopsida; Poales; Bromeliaceae. The record is from RNAcentral.